Long non-coding RNA from Centruroides sculpturatus (bark scorpion), 1271 nucleotides. RefSeq lists it as uncharacterized. The record is from RefSeq and is a predicted model, not a curated record. Lineage: Eukaryota; Metazoa; Arthropoda; Arachnida; Scorpiones; Buthidae. The transcript has 3 exons.
GGAAAGAUAUGUAAAAAUUUGUUAUGUUAAAUCGUCAGGAAAGCAAAUUAUAAGUGUCGAAUCGGCGACACCCGACUUUGACGUCGACGCUCAUCAAAAGUUGACGGAAAAACCAAAUUUUAGAUGUAAAAAGAAGAAAAUUUAAAAUAUUAAAAGUUAAGACGCAGUUUAGAAAGCAAAACGAAACUAGAUAAAAAAAUGUCUAGAUGAGCGAAGGUGUCAUAGUCAACAAUUAAACGCGAUCAGAUUCGAAAAGAUGGUGUCGGAUAAACCAUCUCCAGCCGACCUUUUCCACGAACUUAACGAAGCUCCAUUUACACCUGGAGACAGGUGUAUGAGCAAUUGGAAAACGGUGAUGUAAGAACUAUCCAAUUGACAAGAAGCCGAUCGCAAAAACCCUAUAAAAACGCAAAAAUCAAGGACAACGAAACUUCCACUAAGACUUUUCCACCUAGACUACCUGUUGUGUUCGUUUGUCGACAGCUGUCGUGUUUCCUUUCAUCUUUUGUGUGCUGUCACUUCAGAUCUCGAACUUCUCACUCGACGCAGUCACGGGGCCCCUCCAGCGUAGGACCAGAUCGACACCGAAAACAACUUACGAAGACAACCCGAAGUUCUGAACUUAAGGACCUUUGCCAACAAAAAUUAUAUUCUAAAUUUUAUGAAGAGAUUUGCAAACGUGGCAUUGAAACUUUCAAUGGGAGGAUUUUUCGUCAUCACUAAGAAAUUUCCAAUCAGAUUGGUGAAAUCGUUGCAUUCUGUAUUCUCCGGGUUGUUAAAGAUGCGAGAUAUAUCGUACCAAAAAGAAGUAUGUGAUGAACUUAGAAUUAUUAACAGAACAAAUAUUUUAGCAGUUGAAGGAAUGUGGUGAUAAUGUAAUUGAUAAAGCAGAAAACAUUAUCAUACAAUGUAUUAUUUUAAUGAGUUAAAAUAUGGUUCUUUAAUAUGAUGUCAUUGGAUUUCACAUUACGACUUACAAUUUUAUAUACUGAUCUUAUGUUCAGUGAGAGAAGUUUUAUCAGUUAAACCAAUGAGAUUCAAGUUAUAAAGACAUUUCACUGUAUUUAUUGAAGUAUACUUUCUGGCUCUAAAACAAUUUACGGUUUGUUUGGUAAAAACUAAAAAAGAAAAUUUAAAACUCUUUGAAAAAAAAUUUCGGAAUCGGCCACAUAGUGCAGUUUUCCUCAUCUAGCUUACAAUAGGGACCACAUUACCAUAAAUAUUCCAUCGGAUAACGCCUCCAUUGGUAAACUGUUCAACUGUUGUUUCCU